UCGCCAGCUAGCCGCCUAAUCUCGGUGGCUCCCAUUAAUCGCCAACGGAAUCUCUCUUUCCCUGUUCCCUUUCCCUUGGAAAUACCAGUCCCCGACUCCGGUCUCCAGCCACCGGCUCGAAGAAGAGAAAACUGCGAGUCAGGAAAGCAAGCAGAUCUUAUUAUACUCGUAGAUCUCUGUCCAACCGUUCUUGAUCUCAGGGAAUAGGGUUCUGCGCCCCCGAUCUGGAUUGGCUCUAGGGGAAUCCGAGCCUUCGGAUCCAUCGAUCCGCAGCCGCCAUGGGCAUCCUCUUCACCCGGAUGCUCUCUUCCCUAUUCGGCAACCGGGAGGCUCGGAUCCUCGUUCUUGGCCUUGACAAUGCCGGAAAAACCACCAUCCUUUAUCGGCUGCAGAUGGGGGAAGUAGUUUCCACGAUCCCAACGAUCGGAUUCAAUGUGGAGACGGUGCAAUACAAUAAUAUUAAGCUCCAAGUUUGGGAUCUAGGUGGGCAGACAAGUAUCAGGCCCUAUUGGAGAUGCUACUUUCCAAACACUCGAGCCAUUAUAUAUGUUGUUGAUUCAAGUGACACUGAUAGACUGGUGACAGCUAAGGAUGAAUUUCAUGCUAUCCUAGAGGAGGAAGAGCUAAAAGGUGCAGUUGUCCUCGUAUAUGCAAACAAGCAGGUAUAUCAGGAUGGAUCAAGAUAGGUUAAGAAAAGCCAAUUCCAAUUCCAGCCUAAUAUUCCAUCGGGCCUAAGAAACCAGGCCGAACCCAGGCAGGGCACAGAUCGAGUAGGGCCAGGAUCUCCCUGGCGCACUUGAUGAUGCUGCAGUAACCGAAUCCCUGGAACUUCAUAAGAUAAAAAACCGGCAGUGGGCCAUCUUUAAAACUUCAGCUAUAAAAGGAGAAGGGCUAUUUGAGGGCUUAGAUUGGCUCAGUAACACUCUCAAGUCCGGAGGCUAAUUUGUGGUGCAAGGGUGUACGUCUCUCUCAAGCCCAAAAGUGAGGCUGGAUAGAAUUAUAAAUCUUGUGAAAGGACGCAAGAAGAUGAUCUUGGUUCUUCAUGCCAUGAUGGAAAAUCUCGCUGAGAUGUCUUAUAACCAAUGCUUUUUCUCACACAUGUUUGCUUGUACAAUGGUGGUUGAGUUGGAAUAUAUGUCAUUGGGACGCUAAGGACUUUCAGCAGCUGUAGAAUGGGAGCAAUUAUUGUCUGAGGGUAUAAAAUUGUUUUACAGGAUUGCCAUUGAUCAUCGAUUAUUAAUGUUCUACUUAUCUAUGGAUUAGACAAAUAACAGUGAUUCCAUUUUUAAUUAGUGUUUCCAAA
Phoenix dactylifera (date palm) is the source of this 1303-nucleotide non-coding RNA. Lineage: Eukaryota; Viridiplantae; Streptophyta; Magnoliopsida; Arecales; Arecaceae. The record is from RefSeq and is a predicted model, not a curated record.